Molecule: long non-coding RNA, 1922 nt
Organism: Rhopilema esculentum
Lineage: Eukaryota; Metazoa; Cnidaria; Scyphozoa; Rhizostomeae; Rhizostomatidae
Source: RefSeq, a predicted model, not a curated record
UGUAAGUACACUAUGCUGCUGGAUGAUGGACCAAAACAAAUUCAAAUAUGUAAAAGAAAGCUCCUUUUGAAUUUUUGUCUUUGAAAGUAUCAAAAUCAGUAAAAAAAUUCUUGAUAUUGGCUGCAGAUUUGAUCAUUAUAAUGAUGCUAGAAAGGAAACCACCUUGAUAAAAAAUGGUCCAAUCACAACGAAUUAUAUGGUCAGUGGUGCUGAUAGUUGCAAGUAUUUUGGUAUGGAUGUUUUUCCAUUUUUGCAAAAGAAUUAUUGUACCUUGGUACCAGAGGAAUAGACUAGCUGAGAUCGUGGCACGUAAUGAUCGUAGAGCAAGCCGGGAAAACAUGCGUAAUUUUCUUGCAUCACAUAGAACUUCAGGAUUGGCAGCAUCAAAUUUAACAAUGAACGUGUCAGAGGCAACAUGGGUGUCAAGUGAGGAUGAUCAAGAAGGUGAAAACGUUGAGCCACCACCAGCAUAUUCUGAUGUGGUAUGUCAAGAUAAUGAGUUGUUGGUUGACCCACCAACAUAUGAAGAAGCCACACAUUCUAGGGAAACUGUGCACAAUGCUUAACUGUUAAACCCUGUAUGGUCCAACUUUCUAGGGUUCGGUUUUCUAUCUUUAAAGAAUAUCCAACAAUGUUUUUGAUCCUGGCAAGUGCUAUAUAGUGUAAACUGUAUACAGAUUCUGAACCUCAGAGCAUGGGUCAAAACAAUUUGCAGAAGGAGUGAUUUGGUACUCUUGCAAAAGUGAAGCUGCAAAAGUGAAGAUGCAGAAAUACUUUUUUCAAUUUAUCAAAGGAAUCUGCUAGGCCAUUGAAGGCUAGAUACCCUCUCACUUUGAGUAAAGAGAAUUUUACUUUGAAAGUCCUGAUUCAUAGAACUUUGCUGCAUAUUGAUUCUAAACAAUUUAUGAAUUUUGUAAGAUGGAAAUAGGGUGAAAUAUGGACGGCUAACCCUGUGGAUGAAUAAAAGCAAUACUCUUUGAUUAUAGAUUGAAAACUUCUCAAGAUAGCCACUCAAAGAGUGUUUAUUAAUGACAAAAACAGUUCCCAAUGAGAACUGAACUAUUGAAAUUAUAAACAUUGAAUUCUGCAAAAUCUGGACUUUAAGAAUGCUCUUUUGCCAUAACAAUUUCCUUUUCAAAAUAUUCUGCCUUUUACUCUGUAGCCUAAUCAUUUCAGUUCAUAGUUCAGGCAAUUUUUUGCUGCAAAAUUUUCUGUUGUAUCAGAGAAUCUCAAUAUCUUAGGAAUAGAAACAAGAUACCUCUAGGGAUGAUGACUUGAACUUUAUAGUGGGGCAUAAAGUAUAGAAAGUCAGCCCAACUUUUGAUGAAGCCCCUCAACAAGAAAUGCGCCAUUCUAUAGGGUGUUUUUUCCUGGCACAAGCCUCUUGAUUCAGUCACCUUUGAGGUUGAGAAAAGCAGGCAGACUAAACCAAGUAAAAAAGGCUUGACUGGUGGUCCACUUCUUUCUUCUUGAUGUCUUUUGGAGAAAGUGGGGGGCUAUAGCCCCCAUUCCCCCUUCUCUGUGGUGCUUGUGAUUGACUUCAGAAUUUUAAGAUGAAAUGAAUCAACAAUGUAGAAAACCUUUUUAAGGAAUGCGUUUAAAGACGAUAUUGGUUAGCACCAACUAUCAGUCAUCCAGAUCUUCCUAGCUGAAUCUUCUGGCCCCAGCCCACAAAACUUUUUUUAUGCCUGGCCUCUUUCAAAUUAUCCUUUUUCCCAAUUAAAAGCUAGUAGGUAUUGAAUGAAACCCCCAACUUUGUGAUUUUAAUUUAUUUUGUACAGAUAGAAUCUAACAAUUUUAUCACUUAAUUUAUAUUUUCAGAUAAUAAAUUGUAAAUUAAAUUGUAAUUUUUAUAGCUUUAUCUAUUUAUUUUACUAUAGUAAUUUCCAAUUGAUUAGCAUCAAAUUAAUGAUUCUGUGGAA